This 87-nucleotide transfer RNA is filed under the name Streptomyces olivoverticillatus. RNAcentral describes it as "tRNA-Trp". It matches the Rfam family "tRNA". Rfam says of the family: Transfer RNA (tRNA) molecules are approximately 80 nucleotides in length. Lineage: Bacteria; Bacillati; Actinomycetota; Actinomycetes; Kitasatosporales; Streptomycetaceae. The record is from RNAcentral.
GGAGAGGUACCCGAAGCGGCCCAACGGGGUCCGGAAGCCAGUUCCGGUCGGGUUCUGCCCGCGCAGGUUCGAAUCCUGCCCUCUCCG